GGGGCAUUAAGAAUUCACUCUGUAGAGAACAACUUUCUUAUGCUGCUGUAUGAGCUGCAUCAGUUUCAUAUGCCAGUUUGCCUCCCCUUGAACAUUGUCCACCUGCUUCUGUCAAUUAUCUGCCACUACCCUUUUUACUUUUUGUCAGCUGUUGUUCUUGUUUGCUGCAUUCUUCUACAUAAUGAAAAUUCUUCUGUACUUUAUUUAUGUUAAAGAGAAUGGAGUCAUCAACCAGUCUAUAUUUUAAUGAAUUCCUACAACCAGGGAAAAAUGAAAACAAAGAAAGGAAUCAAGAAAAAUUGCUGCUUCAUUUUUCAAAAUAGACCAAGCACAUGAAUGCCUAUCAAAAUGAUGACUUUUCAAAGGAAAUUGGCUGUGGC
This 380-nucleotide long non-coding RNA is filed under the name Elaeis guineensis (African oil palm). RNAcentral describes it as "long non-coding RNA (EGUI_LNC072969)". Lineage: Eukaryota; Viridiplantae; Streptophyta; Magnoliopsida; Arecales; Arecaceae. The record is from RNAcentral.